RNAcentral lists this ribosomal RNA (254 nucleotides) under uncultured bacterium. RNAcentral describes it as "partial 16S ribosomal RNA". It matches the Rfam family "Bacterial small subunit ribosomal RNA", at positions 524 to 776 of the family's 1533-position model. The record is from RNAcentral.
UACGGGGGGAGCAAGCGUUGUUCGGAUUUACUGGGCGUAAAGGGCGCGUAGGCGGCCUCUGCAAGUCGACUGUGAAAUCUCCGGGCUUAACCCGGAACGGUCAGCCGAUACUGCAGGGCUAGAGUGCAGAAGGGGCAACUGGAAUUCUCGGUGUAGCGGUGAAAUGCGUAGAUAUCGGGAGGAAUACCGAUGGCGAAGGCAGGUCUCUGGGCUGACACUGACGCUCAUGCACGAAAGCGUGGGGAGCAAACAGG